UGCAGGCUGCAACCCGCCUGUAUGAAGUUGGAAUCGCUAGUAAUCGCGGAUCAGCAUGCCGCGGUGAAUACGUUCCCGGGCCUUGUACACACCGCCCGUCACACCAUGAGAGUCGGGAACACCCGAAGUCCGUAGCCUAACCGCAAGGAGGGCGCGGCCGAAGGUGGGUUCGAUAAUUGGGGUGAAGUCGUAACAAGGUAAC
RNAcentral lists this ribosomal RNA (202 nucleotides) under uncultured bacterium. RNAcentral's name for it is "partial 16S ribosomal RNA". It matches the Rfam family "Bacterial small subunit ribosomal RNA", at positions 1299 to 1500 of the family's 1533-position model. The record is from RNAcentral.